GUACGGGUUGUGAGAGCAAGAGCCCGGAGAUGGAUUCUGAGACACGAAUCCAGGCCCUACGGGGUGCAGCAGGCGCGAAAACUUUACAAUGCCGGCAACGGCGAUAAGGGGACCUCGAGUGCCAGGUUACAAAUCUGGCUGUCGUGAUGCCUAAAAAGCAUUGCAUAGCAAGGGCCGGGCAAGACCGGUGCCAGCCGCCGCGGUAACACCGGCGGCUCGAGUGGUAACCGUUAUUAUUGGGUCUAAAGGGUCUGUAGCCGGCCGGAUAAGUCUCUUGAGAAAUCCAGCAGCUCAACUGUUGGGCUUUCAGGAGAUACUGUUCGGCUCGAGGCCGGGAGAGGUGAGAGGUACUUCAGGGGUAGGGGUGAAAUCUUGUAAUCCUUGAAGGACCACCAGUGGCGAAGGCGUCUCACCAGAACGGACCUGACGGCAAGGGACGAAAGCUAGGGGCACGAACCGGAUUAGAUACCCGGGUAGUCCUAGCCGUAAACGAUACUCGCUAGGUGUCGGCCACGGUGCGACCGUUGUCGGUGCCGUAGGGAAGCCGUGAAGCGAGC
This 557-nucleotide ribosomal RNA is filed under the name uncultured archaeon. RNAcentral's name for it is "bacterial SSU rRNA". It matches the Rfam family "Archaeal small subunit ribosomal RNA", at positions 267 to 824 of the family's 1478-position model. The record is from RNAcentral.